AUUGAACGCUGGCGGCAUGCCUUACACAUGCAAGUCGAACGGCAGCACGGGGCAACCUGGUGGCGAGUGGCGAACGGGUGAGUAAUGCAUCGGAACGUGCCAUUGAGUGGGGGAUAACGUAGCGAAAGUUGCGCUAAUACCGCAUAUUCUGUGAGCAGGAAAGCAGGGGACCGCAAGGCCUUGCGCUCUUUGAGCGGCCGAUGUCAGAUUAGCUAGUUGGUGAGGUAACGGCUUACCAAGGCGACGAUCUGUAGCGGGUCUGAGAGGAUGAUCCGCCACACUGGAACUGAGACACGGUCCAGACUCCUACGGGAGGCAGCAGUGGGAAUUUGGACAAUGGCGCAAGCCUGAUCCAGCCAUGCCGCGUGAGUGAAGAAGGCCUUC
This 384-nucleotide ribosomal RNA is filed under the name uncultured bacterium. RNAcentral's name for it is "bacterial SSU rRNA". It matches the Rfam family "Bacterial small subunit ribosomal RNA", at positions 30 to 419 of the family's 1533-position model. The record is from RNAcentral.